GACGAACGCUGGCGGCGUGCUUAACACAUGCAAGUCGAACGGAAAGGCCCUGCUUUUGUGGGGUGCUCGAGUGGCGAACGGGUGAGUAACACGUGAGUAACCUGCCCUUGACUUUGGGAUAACUUCAGGAAACUGGGGCUAAUACCGGAUAGGAGCUCCUGCUGCAUGGUGGGGGUUGGAAAGUUUCGGCGGUUGGGGAUGGACUCGCGGCUUAUCAGCUUGUUGGUGGGGUAGUGGCUUACCAAGGCUUUGACGGGUAGCCGGCCUGAGAGGGUGACCGGCCACAUUGGGACUUAGAGACGGCCCAGACUCCUACGGGAGGCAGCAGUGGGGAAUAUUGCACAAUGGGCGGAAGCCUGAUGCAGCAACGCCGCGUGCGGGAUGACGGCCUUCGGGUUGUAAACCGCUUUCGCCUGUGACGAAGCGUGAGUGACGGUAAUGGGUAAAGAAGCACCGGCUAACUACGUG
Molecule: ribosomal RNA, 468 nt
Filed under: uncultured bacterium
Lineage: Bacteria
Description: partial 16S ribosomal RNA
Rfam family: Bacterial small subunit ribosomal RNA
Source: RNAcentral